GAUUGGGCGGCCGAUAUCAGAUUAGCUAGUUGGUGAGGUAAAGGCUCACCAAGGCGACGAUCUGUAGCGGGUCUGAGAGGAUGAUCCGCCACACUGGAACUGAGACACGGUCCAGACUCCUACGGGAGGCAGCAGUGGGGAAUUUUGGACAAUGGGGGCAACCCUGAUCCAGCCAUGCCGCGUGAGUGAAGAAGGCCUUCGGGUUGUAAAGCUCUUUCGGCCGGGAAGAAAUCGUAUGGGUUAAUACCCUGUGCGGAUGACGGUACCGGCAUAAGAAGCACCGGCUACUACGUGCCAGCAGCCGCGGUAAUACGUAGGGUGCGAGCGUUAAUCGGAAUUACUGGGCGUAAAGCGUGCGCAGGCGGUUUUGUAAGACAGGCGUGAAAUCCCCGGGCUCAACCUGGGAACUGCGCUUGUGACUGCAAGGCUAGAGUACGGCAGAGGGGGGUGGAAUUCCACGUGUAGCAGUGAAAUGUGUAGAGAUGUGGAGGAACACCAAUGGCGAAGGCAGCCCCCUGGGUCGAUACUGACGCUCAUGCACGAAAGCGUGGGUAGCAAACAGGAUUAGAUACCCUGGUAGUCCACGCCCUAAACGAUGUCAACUAGGUGUUGGGUGGGUAAAACCAUUUAGUACCGGAGCUAACGCGUGAAGUUGACCGCCUGGGGAGUACGGCCGCAAGGUUAAAACUCAAAGGAAUUGACGGGGACCCGCACAAGCGGUGGAUGAUGUGGAUUAAUUCGAUGCAACGCGAAAAACCUUACCUACCCUUGACAUGUCCAGGAGCCUGAAGAGAUUUGGGUGUGCCCGAAAGGGAACUGGAACACAGGUGCUGCAUGGCUGUCGUCAGCUCGUGUCGUGAGAUGUUGGGUUAAGUCCCGCAACGAGCGCAACCCUUGUCGUUAAUUGCCAUCAUUUAGUUGGGCACUUUAACGAGACUGCCGGUGACAAACCGGAGGAAGGUGGGGAUGACGUCAAGUCCUCAUGGCCCUUAUGGGUAGGGCUUCACACGUCAUACAAUGGUCGGUACAAAGGGUCGCCAACCCGCGAGGGGGAGCCGAUCCCAGAAAGCCGAUCGUAGUCCGGAUCGUAGGCUGCAACUCGCCUGCGUGAAGUCGGAAUCGCUAGUAAUCGUGGAUCAGCAUGUCACGGUGAAUACGUUCCCGGGCCUUGUACACACCGCCCGUCACACCAUGGGAGCGGGUUCCGCCAGAAGUAGGUAGCCUAACCGCAAGGGGGGCGCUUACCACGGCGGGGUUCGUGACUGGGGUGAAGUCGUAACAAGGUA
Molecule: ribosomal RNA, 1286 nt
Filed under: metagenome
Description: bacterial SSU rRNA
Rfam family: Bacterial small subunit ribosomal RNA
Source: RNAcentral